RNAcentral lists this long non-coding RNA (6815 nucleotides) under Olea europaea subsp. europaea. Lineage: Eukaryota; Viridiplantae; Streptophyta; Magnoliopsida; Lamiales; Oleaceae. The record is from RNAcentral.
GAGUUAGAGAUAGAGCCCCAGAUUUUUCCCUAAAUCGGCACCACGCACGCCUGCACGCACCAGUCUACCUCUACCCAUCUGGCAACUACCGCCACUAUCGCAAAGGGCAAACGCUCAUAGGUUGCAGCAGCCAGCAGACGAUACUGCCACCGUGAGAGUCGAAAGGAGCAGGCGAGCGUCGGGCAGCACUCUAGUCUAAGCGUCCAGCAGGCAGCCUGCACUCAGUCUCCGCACCGCAGCCAGAAAGCUUUCCUUCUCGUGUCAAACUACCGAUUUUGAGGUUAAGCAAUUAGCAAACCCUUUGUGAAUUGUCACUUGUGAGUUCCUGUUCUUCCCCAGUUCCCCAAUUCCUUCUCGGCACAGUGUCAGUAUUCGGUCCUAAAUUUAAUGUCUAACUUGAUACAAUGAUAUUAAUUUGUAAAUUUGAGGAUAUGGGUUUUGAGUUUUGAACUGGAUAUCUGAAUCGGAGAAGGGAGAGCAAUUCUCAAUUUCUCAUCUUAAAGUUGAAUCACUUAUUUAUUAGUCGUUACUUCAAAAAUCAAGAAUUACACUAUUAGAGCAUAAACACCAUCUGUUAGAGGCUAUUACGGGAUGGAAGGAUCUACGAAUAAGUUGUAAUUUAGGAUAAUUCGCUGGUGAUUUCUGUGCUUUAUUUCGAAAGCCGAAAGUUGGGAAUUAAUUGCUUUCCAUUUAAAUAACAACUAAUAAAAUUAUGGGGCUUUAUUUCAAAAUACAUAUAUGUGAUUUAGGCAGUUAGCUUAGAAGUUAGAAUGUUAUUGGAUUUGCCACUGCUGCUAUUCCCCAUUGUAACCCUAUCAUGUUAAGGGCAUUUUGAUCACUUUCAAGUGUUAAAAACAAUGAAGAAGGCAUCAAAACUGAGUGUAUUCCCAACAUUGACAAAAGGGACGAUCAACCUAAUUUUUGAAAUCGAAUUUGGACUAUUUUACAUUAUUUCAGUAUCUGGUAUUAAACUAUAUUUUCAUAUGUAUAUAAUUUCUAGAUUUUAGUGUAUUUACAUAUAUAUCGAAUAAUUUUUAAUAUUAUUUAAUCUAAUUUUAAUAAACGGUCGGCUGCCGACCGGACCGGGAUUUUACGAUCGUUGAUUGUCGAUGGUCAAUAAUCAAAGUCAACCUCUGCCCUUGUUGAAUGUUGAUGCUAGAUUCGCCACUGCUUGCAUGCAUGGAUAUAAGAGUCUAGAAAGGCACCUUGCGCCUUUCAGGUGUGUGCAACUUGUGUGCAGAGUUACCAUGCUCAGGUACAACUAAUAGAGUGAAAUUUCAAGGAUAGCAACCACUUUCAGUUCGUCUUCCGUUCUCUCAAUCUAAUUCUCCAUUUCUUCAAUCUUCUUAUCUAAAGUUACCAUGUCUUCAUUCUCACCAUUUUCCUCGUUACUAACUAUUUCGUGAUCAUAGCAGACACUAAGAGCACCAAUUGUAACCUCAUCUAGGAUAUUUGCUUCCUUUACCUCCUCGAGAGGUUUGUCCUCAACUCUCUCAAAGAUAUCAGAUAAAGGUAUUGGAUGGAUUUUCACAUUUCUUGAGUUAUCAGUUAUAUUUUUUAUUAUUGAUUAAGAAAGAACAUUUUUAUUAUUUGUCAAAUUUUUAAUUUCUAUUAUUCUUUUAUCCAAAAUGUAACUAUAUCUCCAUUAAUUAUAUCAAUUCAAGUAUUUUGACUACACCAUUUUGAUUAAAGUGACAUUUUUCUAUUUUUCCAUUGUUACACAAAGUUGUACAUUUUUGUCAACAAUAUUUAUAUUGUCAUCUAUGUUAGAAAUUCGUUACCUUCAAUUUACCGGAUCUUUCAUGUUGGAUCAUCAAGAAAUUUUAGAUCUGUAGCGAAAGUGUACCUAAAUCAGAAUAGUCAUUGCAAUAAUUGAAUCAUGGGCUCGGUCUUUCAAAUCAACACGUAGUCUCUUUUUUCUUUGUGAUGAGAUGCAGAAGAGAACGAACCAUGCCUUUCAAUACCCUCUACGUGUGAUUCGGGGACCAUAACCAUUAUUUAUAUAUAGAUGCCCUUUUGACCUAAUUCGGCCCAUCAUGAAAUUAAGAAUUGAGCCCAAUCUCUAUACAUAUAUAAAUCCACACUUUAAUUGGAUGCAUUAAAGCUCAAAAUCGAAUCCUUAUUAGAUCACUUUAAAUGGGCUAAACCGAAUUCGAUAGCCUAUAAUUUAAUGCACAAUAAUUUAUACAUAUAAGCCCAUAGAAUUGAUUAAAAAAUCCUUACAAUCUCCCGCUUGGGCUAUAUGUGUCACCUUAUGACUAUGCAUUAAACAUAACCUUAUGAGUACUAAGUUCUUUGCUAUCAUUACUGAAUGCAUCCCCAAAUAAUCCUAUCCAUCAAUCAUAUCAACAUAGGAUCAAAGCGAUUUUCGUUACUUUCAUCGUAACUAAACCCUUCAAUGGUCACGUAUAUCAAUAUAACUGAAUGACAUGGAUUAAGCAUGGAUGUGUAGCAUAGAAAUUUCAUGCAAAGUGAUCUUAACAUGCCUAUUUCCAUCUGGUCCACCUUAAUACUUUAGUGAGAUCAUUUUCAAAUAAGUUCAGAGAUAAUAAAUCAAAACUUUAUAACUGAAAAUUUCUUUAACCUUAAACCAUAUCCAAAAUGACAGUAUAUGUGUCUAGCACAAAAAUGCAAACUCCCACUGAAACUAAAUAUCCUUAAGCUACAUUACACCCAUAUGAGCAGUGUGCUCAUGAAAGAUCUUGGGUAUCAAUUCCUUAGUGAGCGGAUCCGCAAUUAUGGAGUUUGUCUGAUGUGCUUUUUUGACACCUAUUUACUCUGAACUCAUUCUUUAACAGCCAGAAACUUGAUCUCUAUAUGUUUUGAUUUUGUCGAGCUCCUGUUGUUAUUGGAAUACAGCACUGCUGAUUUAUUGUCACAAAAUAUCUUAAGUGGUCUUUCUAUAUAGUCCACAAUGCGCAGCCCAGUGACAAAAUUACGUAGCCAUAUUCCAUGAUUUGAUACUUCAUAAAACGCUAUAAAUUUCGCUGCCAUGGUGGAAGUAGCUGUGAGUGUCUGCUUAGCACUCUUCUAGAAAAUAGCACCUUUAGCAAGCAGGUAAAUAUAGCCUGAAGUGGAUCUCCUAUUAUCUUGGCAUCCUACGAAAUCGGAAUCAGAAUAACCGACGAUCUCCAACUGAUCCGAUCUCCUGUAUGUGAGCAUAUAGUCUCUUGUUCUUUGUAAAUAUCGUAUAACCCGUUUGGCUGCUUUCCAACGAUCCAUUCUCGGGUCAUUUAUAUAUCUCCCUAGCAUCCAAAUAAUGUAAGCUAUAUCCGGAUGCGCACAAACCUAAGCAUACAUCAGAUCCCUACUGCUGAAGAAUAAGGAAUCUUCUGUAUUUCUUUACUUUCUAAGUCAUUUUGGGGCAUUGACUUAAAUUGUACUUGUCUCCUUUAGCCACAGGGGUGUCACCUGGUUUACAAUCUUGCAUGCCAUAUCUUUUGAGUAUCUUUUCGAUAUAGCUCUUUUGUGAAAAUUUAAGAAUACCCUGAGAAUGAUCUCGAUGUAUCUAAAUUCUAAUACAAAAGAGGCGUCACCACGAUUUUUCAUCUCAAAGUUCCUUAUUUGAAAUCUCUUAGUUUUAUACAAUAAGCCUAUAUCGUUGCUGGCAAGCAAUAUGUCAUCGACAUAUAAAAUCAGAAAAAUAUACUUACUCCCCUGAACUUAUGAUAUAUACAAUUAUCAACCAAAUUCAUCUCGAAACCAAAUGAGAUGAUCACUUGAUGAAACUUGUAAUAACAUUGACGAGCCGCCUGUUUGAGUUCAUAGAUGGAUUUCUUUAGUUUGCAAACCAUUUGCUUUGCAACAUCCGAUACAAAGUUUUCUGGUUGAACCAUACAAAUCGUUUCGUCAAUAUCACGGAUGAGUAAUGGUGUCUUGACAUUCAUCUAAUGUAACUCAAGAUCAAAGUGCUCUACCAAUGCCAUUAUAAUCCUAAAUGAGUCUUUCAAAGAAACCGAAGAGAAAGUCUCUUUAUAAUCGAUGUCUUCUUUCUGUGUAAAGUCUUUUGCAACAAAAAGAGACUUAUACUUCUCUACAUCACCUUUUGAAUCCUUCUUGAUCUUAAAUAUCCAUUUGUAACCAAUGGAUUUCACACCUUCAGGCAAUGGAACGAGAUCCCAUACAUCAUUGUCCUUCAUGGACUUUAUCUUUUCAUUCAUGAUAUUGAGCCACUUUUUAGGGUUAGAACUUUCCAUGACUUGAUGAAAGUUGAUCAUAUCACUUUCACUACUCCAAUUUCAACUUCAUGUUCUUGGAAAAGUACGAUAUAAUCAGCCAAAAUCGCACUUUUUCUCUCUCUAGUGGAUCUUCUUAAUGGCAUUUGUUCUUGAGGCUGUAGAGUUUGUUCUUCUGGAAUAAUUUGUUGACCUUGUGAGGGAGAUACAAAAAAUUUAUCUUUAACCCUUUCUUCACCCGCAAACUCGCCAUCCUCAAAGAACCGAACAUUUUCUAUCUCGAAAAUUGCCUUAGUUGUGGGAUUAUAAAACUUGUAACCCCUGGACCUGUUAGAAUAUCCAAUAAAAUAAUAAUUGAUAGUCCUUGCGUUCAAUUUCUUUUCAUUUAGCCUAUAAGGCAUUACCUCAACUGGACAUCCCCAAAUGUUGUAGGUUUCUUGCCGUCCAAAGCUUACAAGGGGUUUUAUCAGUGGCCUUAGUUGGAACUCUGUUGAGUAUAUACGCUGCAGUCUUUAAUGCUUCACCUCAAAUAGAAUGACUAAUCAAACUCCUUAUCAUGUCCUUAAGCGUUCUAUUAAAUCUCUCAACAACACCAUCCAUAGUGGGCAAACUUGACAUAGUGUACUGUGAGACGAUACCGCAUUUCUCUAGGAAUUUAGCAAAUGGCCUUGGAAAUUGUUCUCCUGAACCGUCAUAUCUGCCAGAGUAUUCACCAACGGUCAGAUCUGACACUUUUAAUCCUUUUGUCGAGUUGAUUUUCAGUUUCAGCUUCAUAGUCCUUAAACAUAUCUAGGGACUGUGAUUUUUCAUGAAUGAGAUAUACAUAAUCAUAUCUUGAAAGUCGUCUAUGAACAUUAUAAAAUAUUGUUGACCAUUCCAAGAACCCGUAAAGAAUAGUCCACAAAUAUUCGUAUCUAUAAGUUCUAAGACAUCCGAAGUUGGCUUGAAAUUUCCUUUUAUUAGUUUAUUUUUGUUUUCGCUUUACACUUCGAGUACUUACAUGCAAGAAUUUAUUAAAAGAAGCAAUUGUAUCAAUUAAAUAUAGAUUAUCGUAACCUGAUAAAGAACCAGAACCAACUAAUUUUGAAUCAUGAAACAAACUGAAUUUUUCAUUUUCAAAUGAACAAGAAUAACUGGAUUUGUCCAAAGCAGAAAUGGAAAUCAAAUUUUGUAGAUAAGACGGUACAAUAAAUGUUUCAUCAAGAUCCAAAUAAAUCCAGUCUUUAAUAAUAAUGUAAAUUUUCCAAUUGCCUCUACUUUCACCGUCAUGCCGAACCAACAUAGAUGUAUAUUUCACCAUCACUUGGUUUUCGACAACUCAAGCAAUCUUGCACAGAUACACUGAUGUGAGUUGUACUAGAAUAUAUCCACCAUAUAUGUUUAGGUACCGAAGUUAAAUUAACCUUAAAACAAACCAAUCGAAGAAGAAUACCUUUCAUCACAUGCCAUACGUGAUAGUUGGUACAAUUCUUCUUCUUAUGACCUGCAAUUCCACAAAAGAAACAACCAUACUCAAUUUGUUCCUUAUGCUAUUUCUUUUGUGGUGCUGUGCCCGCAGCUUCCUUAUUAGUUUUCCUUUUUCUUUAUAUUUCAUUGAAGUAAGGUUUGCUAAAAGUGUACUAGUUUCAGCCUUUUCAUUUAUUGCAAGCCUCUUCUCAAGAUCCUUAAGGAUAACCUUAGCCGUGUUUAUUUCAUUAGAUAUAGUACCCCGAAGUGGUUCUGGAAUAUCAAGUUUCAUAGUCUCUUAGAUUUCAUUAGACUACUUAGAUUUCAUUAAUCUCACAGGGAGUACUUAGACUACUUAGCUAUCUGGUGAAGUAAGUUUGCAUGUUCAUUUUAUUAGUUAUUUAGCUUUUUACCUCUCAUUUUAGACAAUUUAUCAAUAAUUUUUGUUUGUCUUGAUCUCCAGAUGGUGAGAGAAAUGCUAAAAGAUGUGCGCAGAAGUGUACAAUUAAUGGGGGAUCCUGUGAUUCAGUUGAGGCAUAACCCGCGAUUUACCCCCUCUAAGGUUCCCCCUCUAAGGUUCUAGGGGCAUGAGUCUUAAAGGUCCAGGAUUUAGUUUGGUGUAAGUUGGGACACCUGGAUAUCAAAAAAUUAAAAAAAAAAUGCUAAAAGACAAAAGACUUCAUAUGAGGAUGUGAAUGCUGAUAUAUUAGGUUCAUCGACUCACAAACAUGCCAAGACCUGAUGGUGCCACUGUGAUGUCCUAUAUUGAUGAUCAAUGGGUGGAAUGAAACAGUAACUAAACACAUAUACAUUUGGUAUUCUGUCUUGUCAAAAACUGUUAUCUAUGUUUUCUUUUAGGAUUGUGUGUUUAAAUUGUUAGCUGGAAUACGGACAAUAUAUGCUAAUGUUGUUUAAUUUAUUCCUGGUUAAUGUGUCUUGAUAUAUAGCCCCUGUUUGAUCCCCAUUACGUAGAAAAAUUAAUGGGGGGAAUAGUAUUUUUUUUAAAAAAUGAGUAGUUGAAAAAGAAUGAAAAGUUUUCGAUUUACGUGUAAUAUUAUUUUAUGAAAGAUUGUGUGGUUGAAAAUAGGAGAGAGAAAAAUGAAAUGUAAAUGAAUUUAAUGUAAUGGGGCUCAAACGGGGGCACAGAUUUUGUAGACAGACAUUUGGGUUGUCCUAAUCCAAUAUGAAUAUUAG